Molecule: unclassified non-coding RNA, 343 nt
Filed under: Hevea brasiliensis (rubber tree)
Lineage: Eukaryota; Viridiplantae; Streptophyta; Magnoliopsida; Malpighiales; Euphorbiaceae
Source: RNAcentral
AGUUUUUUUCUUCAGCAUUAAGCAGCGCAACUGCUCAGCAGAGGGAAAUGGAAUCACGUCAAGUUGGUGAAGAAUCACUAGAUACUCCUUUAUUAGCAGACCAAGAAAUAUCAACUGAUUCAUCAAAGCAAGUAAAGUUGGGGUUUCUUACUGGCCUCGUUCCCAAAGAAAAGUCUUUGGCAUUUGAAAGGAUUAUAUUCCGAGCUACCAGGGGCAAUGUGUUUAUCAGGCAGGCUGCUAUUGAGGAGCCUGUAAUUGAUCCUGUUUCUGGGGAGAAGAUUGAGAAGAACGUAUUUGUUGUGUUCUAUUCUGGAGAAAGAGCUAAAACCAAAAUACUCAAAAU